GACGAACGCUGGCGGCAAGCUUAACACAUGCAAGUCGAACGCCGUAGCAAUACGGAGUGGCAGACGGGUGAGUAACACGUGGGAACGUGCCUUUCGGUUCGGAACAACUGAGGGAAACUUCAGCUAAAACCGGAUACGCCCUUCGGGGGAAAGUUUACGCCGAAAGAUCGGCCCGCGUCAGAUUAGGUAGUUGGCAGGGUAAUGGCCCACCAAGCCGAUGAUCUGUAGCUGUUCUGAGAGGAAGAUCAGCCACACUGGGACUGAGACACGGCCCAGACUCCUACGGGAGGCAGCAGUGGGGAGUAUUGGACAAUGGGCGCAAGCCUGAUCCAGCUAUGCCGCGUGGAUGAAGAAGGCCUUCGGGUUGUAAAGUCCUUUCGGCGGGGAAGAUAAUGACGGUACCCGCAGAAGAAGCCCCGGCUAACUUCGUGCCAGCCGCCGCGGUAA
This 447-nucleotide ribosomal RNA is filed under the name uncultured bacterium. RNAcentral's name for it is "partial 16S ribosomal RNA". It matches the Rfam family "Bacterial small subunit ribosomal RNA", at positions 28 to 523 of the family's 1533-position model. The record is from RNAcentral.